Molecule: long non-coding RNA, 2292 nt
Organism: Oncorhynchus kisutch (coho salmon)
Lineage: Eukaryota; Metazoa; Chordata; Actinopteri; Salmoniformes; Salmonidae
Source: Ensembl
AUGCUACUCGCUGUUUAUUAUCUAUGCAUAGUCACUUCAUCCCCACCUACAUGUACACUGCUGCUACUCGCUGUUUAUUAUCUAUGCAUAGUCACUUCAUCCCCACCUACAUGUACACUGCUGCUACUCGCUGUUUAUUAUCUAUGCAUAGUCACUUCAUCCCCACCUACAUGUACACUGCUGCUACUCGCUGUUUAUUAUCUAUGCAUAGUCACUUCAUCCCCACCUACAUGUACACUGCUGCUACUCGCUGUUUAUUAUCUAUGCAUAGUCACUUCAUCCCCACCUACAUGUACACUGCUGCUACUCGCUGUUUAUUAUCUAUGCAUAGUCACUUCAUCCCCACCUACAUGUACACUGCUGCUACUCGCUGUUUAUUAUCUAUGCAUAGUCACUUCAUCCCCACCUACAUGUACACUGCUGCUACUCGCUGUUUAUUAUCUAUGCAUAGUCACUUCAUCCCCACCUACAUGUACACUGCUGCUACUCGCUGUUUAUUAUCUAUGCAUAGUCACUUCAUCCCCACCUACAUGUACACUGCUGCUACUCGCUGUUUAUUAUCUAUGCAUAGUCACUUCAUCCCCACCUACAUGUACACUGCUGCUACUCGCUGUUUAUUAUCUAUGCAUAGUCACUUCAUCCCCACCUACAUGUACACUGCUGCUACUCGCUGUUUAUUAUCUAUGCAUAGUCACUUCAUCCCCACCUACAUGUACACUGCUGCUACUCGCUGUUUAUUAUCUAUGCAUAGUCACUUCAUCCCCACCUACAUGUACACUGCUGCUACUCGCUGUUUAUUAUCUAUGCAUAGUCACUUCAUCCCCACCUACAUGUACACUGCUGCUACUCGCUGUUUAUUAUCUAUGCAUAGUCACUUCAUCCCCACCUACAUGUACACUGCUGCUACUCGCUGUUUAUUAUCUAUGCAUAGUCACUUCAUCCCCACCUACAUGUACACUGCUGCUACUCGCUGUUUAUUAUCUAUGCAUAGUCACUUCAUCCCCACCUACAUGUACACUGCUGCUACUCGCUGUUUAUUAUCUAUGCAUAGUCACUUCAUCCCCACCUACAUGUACACUGCUGCUACUCGCUGUUUAUUAUCUAUGCAUAGUCACUUCAUCCCCACCUACAUGUACACUGCUGCUACUCGCUGUUUAUUAUCUAUGCAUAGUCACUUCAUCCCCACCUACAUGUACACUGCUGCUACUCGCUGUUUAUUAUCUAUGCAUAGUCACUUCAUCCCCACCUACAUGUACACUGCUGCUACUCGCUGUUUAUUAUCUAUGCAUAGUCACUUCAUCCCCACCUACAUGUACACUGCUGCUACUCGCUGUUUAUUAUCUAUGCAUAGUCACUUCAUCCCCACCUACAUGUACACUGCUGCUACUCGCUGUUUAUUAUCUAUGCAUAGUCACUUCAUCCCCACCUACAUGUACACUGCUGCUACUCACUGUUUAUUAUCUAUGCAUAGUCACUUCAUCCCCACCUACAUGUACACUGCUGCUACUCGCUGUUUAUUAUCUAUGCAUAGUCACUUCAUCCCCACCUACAUGUACACUGCUGCUACUCGCUGUUUAUUAUCUAUGCAUAGUCACUUCAUCCCCACCUACAUGUACACUGCUGCUACUCGCUGUUUAUUAUCUAUGCAUAGUCACUUCAUCCCCACCUACAUGUACACUGCUGCUACUCGCUGUUUAUUAUCUAUGCAUAGUCACUUCAUCCCCACCUACAUGUACACUGCUGCUACUCGCUGUUUAUUAUCUAUGCAUAGUCACUUCAUCCCCACCUACAUGUACACUGCUGCUACUCACUGUUUAUUAUCUAUGCAUAGUCACUUCAUCCCCACCUACAUGUACACUGCUGCUACUCGCUGUUUAUUAUCUAUGCAUAGUCACUUCAUCCCCACCUACAUGUACACUGCUGCUACUCGCUGUUUAUUAUCUAUGCAUAGUCACUUCAUCCCCACCUACAUGUACACUGCUGCUACUCGCUGUUUAUUAUCUAUGCAUAGUCACUUCAUCCCCACCUACAUGUACACUGCUGCUACUCGCUGUUUAUUAUCUAUGCAUAGUCACUUCAUCCCCACCUACAUGUACACUGCUGCUACUCGCUGUUUAUUAUCUAUGCAUAGUCACUUCAUCCCCACCUACAUGUACACUGCUGCUACUCGCUGUUUAUUAUCUAUGCAUAGUCACUUCAUCCCCACCUACAUGUACACUGCUGCUACUCGCUGUUUAUUAUCUAUGCAUAGUCACUUCAUCACCACCUACAUGUACAAAUUUCCUCAACUAA